CCCUUAGAUGUCCUGGGCUGCACGCGCGCUACACUGGAAGUUACGUAUUGAGAUACUACCUUGUCCGAAAUGGUCCGGGUAAUCACCUAAAAGCUUGUCAUAAUUGGAAUGGAUUAUUGUAACUAGUAAUCCUGAACGAGGAAUUCCUAGUAAGUCCCAGUCAACAGCUGGUACUGAUUACGUCCCUGCCCUUUGUACACACCGCCCGUCGCUACUACUGAUUGGACGUUUAAGCAAGAUUUUUAAACACUGACAGUGUGUAGUUCACGCUAUACUACAGUGAGAAGAAGAAGAUCGAGCUUACUUGUCUAGAGGAAGUAAAAGUCGUAACA
Molecule: ribosomal RNA, 332 nt
Filed under: uncultured eukaryote
Lineage: Eukaryota
Description: partial 18S ribosomal RNA
Rfam family: Eukaryotic small subunit ribosomal RNA
Source: RNAcentral